RNAcentral lists this ribosomal RNA (253 nucleotides) under uncultured bacterium. RNAcentral describes it as "partial 16S ribosomal RNA". It matches the Rfam family "Bacterial small subunit ribosomal RNA", at positions 524 to 776 of the family's 1533-position model. The record is from RNAcentral.
UACAGAAGUCCCGAGCGUUGUUCGGAUUCACUGGGCGUAAAGCGCACGUAGGCGGCUCUUUAAGUCAGGGGUGAAAUCCUGGAGCUCAACUCCAGAACUGCCUUUGAUACUGAGGGGCUUGAGUCCGGGAGAGGUGAGUGGAACUGCGAGUGUAGAGGUGAAAUUCGUAGAUAUUCGCAAGAACACCAGUGGCGAAGGCGGCUCACUGGCCCGGUACUGACGCUGAGGUGCGAAAGCGUGGGGAGCAAACAGG